Molecule: ribosomal RNA, 91 nt
Filed under: Sporosarcina sp. P7
Lineage: Bacteria; Bacillati; Bacillota; Bacilli; Caryophanales; Caryophanaceae
Also listed under: 2 other names
Source: RNAcentral
CACCCGUUCCCAUACCGAACACGGAAGUUAAGCUCUUCAGCGCCGAUGGUAGUUGGGGGUUUCCCCCUGUGAGAGUAGGACGUUGCUAGGC